RNAcentral lists this ribosomal RNA (468 nucleotides) under uncultured bacterium. RNAcentral describes it as "partial 16S ribosomal RNA". It matches the Rfam family "Bacterial small subunit ribosomal RNA", at positions 28 to 507 of the family's 1533-position model. The record is from RNAcentral.
GACGAACGCUGGCGGCGUGCUUAACACAUGCAAGUCGAACGGAAAGGCCCUGCUUUUGUGGGGUGCUCGAGUGGCGAACGGGUGAGUAACACGUGCGUAACCUGCCCUUGACUUUGGGAUAACUUCAGGAAACUGGGUCUAAUACCGGAUAGGAGCUCCUGCUGCAUGGUGGGGGUUGGAAAGUUUCGGCGGUUGGGGAUGGACUCGCGGCUUAUCAGCUUGUUGGUGGGGUAGUGGCUUACCAAGGCUUUGACGGGUAGCCGGCCUGAGAGGGUGACCGGCCACAAUGGGACUGAGAUAGGGCCCAGACUCCUACGGGAGGCAGCAGUGGGGAGUAUUGCACAAUGGGCGGAAGCCUGAUGCAGCAACGCCGCGUGCGGGAUGACGGCCUUCGGGUUGUAAACCGCUUUCGCCUGUGACGAAGCGUGAGUGACGGUAAUGGGUAAAGAAGCACCGGCUAACUACGUG